AUAUAUAUAUAUAUAUAUAUAUAUAUAUAUAUAUAUAUAUAUAUAUGCACACACACACACAUAUAUGUAUAUAUACAUACAUACAUAUAUAUUUUUUUAUUUUCCAUAU
RNAcentral lists this microRNA precursor (109 nucleotides) under Sorex araneus (European shrew). Its description in RNAcentral is "miRNA (ENSSARG00000017269.1)". Lineage: Eukaryota; Metazoa; Chordata; Mammalia; Eulipotyphla; Soricidae. The record is from RNAcentral.